GCUGAAAUAGCUCAAUUGGUAGAGCAACUGAAUCGUAAUCAGUAGGUUGCGGGUUCGAUUCCUGCUUUCAGCACCA
Molecule: transfer RNA, 76 nt
Filed under: bacterium
Lineage: Bacteria
Also listed under: 2 other names
Description: tRNA-Thr
Rfam family: tRNA
About the family: Transfer RNA (tRNA) molecules are approximately 80 nucleotides in length. Their secondary structure includes four short double-helical elements and three loops (D, anti-codon, and T loops).
Source: RNAcentral